GACGAACGCUGGCGGCGUGCUUAACACAUGCAAGUCGAACGGAAAGGCCCUGCUUUUGUGGGGUGCUCGAGUGGCGAACGGGUGAGUAACACGUGAGUAACCUGCCCUUGACUUUGGGAUAACUUCAGGAAACUGGGGCUAAUACCGGAUAGGAGCUCCUGCUGCAUGGUGGGGGUUGGAAAGUUUCGGCGGUUGGGGAUGGACUCGCGGCUUAUCAGCUUGUUGGUGGGGUAGGGGCUUACCAAGGCUUUGACGGGUAGCCGGCCUGAGGGGGUGACCGGCCACAUUGGGACUGGAAUCGGGCCCGAACUCCUACGGGAGGCAGCAGUGGGGAUUAUUGCACAAUGGGCGGAGGCCUGAUGCAGCAACGCCGCGUGCGGGAGGACGGCCUUCGGGUUGUAAACCGCUUUCGCCUGUGACGAAGCGUGAGUGACGGUAAUGGGUAAAGAAGCACCGGCUAACUACGUG
This 468-nucleotide ribosomal RNA is filed under the name uncultured bacterium. RNAcentral's name for it is "partial 16S ribosomal RNA". It matches the Rfam family "Bacterial small subunit ribosomal RNA", at positions 28 to 507 of the family's 1533-position model. The record is from RNAcentral.